This 260-nucleotide long non-coding RNA is filed under the name Gossypium raimondii (Peruvian cotton). RNAcentral's name for it is "long non-coding RNA (GRAI_LNC001916)". Lineage: Eukaryota; Viridiplantae; Streptophyta; Magnoliopsida; Malvales; Malvaceae. The record is from RNAcentral.
GUGGAUUAGCAAACCUAAAUUAAAUGCAUUCCACUAACAUCAUCGAAGAUAAUUAAAAAGAUAAUCAUAGAUGAUGUAUGGACUAAUACUCUGAUGCUAAUAAUUGGAAUAACCUUAUAUGUAUCCGAAUUCUGACAUUCUAGAAGGGAUAAAUAGUGAUAAGAGUGUAGAUAGCGGAAGACCAAGUUUAGAAUACAUAGCACAAUUUAUUAUUCUAAUGUAUAUGAAACUAGCAUGAAAGUAUUAGAUUGUCAUGACCU